CGGCAGCACAGAGGAGCUUGCUCCUUGGGUGGCGAGUGGCGGACGGGUGAGGAAUACAUCGGAAUCUACUCUGUCGUGGGGGAUAACGUAGGGAAACUUACGCUAAUACCGCAUACGACCUACGGGUGAAAGCAGGGGAUCUUCGGACCUUGCGCGAUUGAAUGAGCCGAUGUCGGAUUAGCUAGUUGGCGGGGUAAAGGCCCACCAAGGCGACGAUCCGUAGCUGGUCUGAGAGGAUGAUCAGCCACACUGGAACUGAGACACGGUCCAGACUCCUACGGGAGGCAGCAGUGGGGAAUAUUGGACAAUGGGCGCAAGCCUGAUCCAGCCAUACCGCGUGGGGUGAAGAAGGCCUUCGGGUUGUAAAGCCCUUUUGUUGGGAAAGAAAUCCAGCCGGCUAAUACCUGGUUGGGAUGACGGUACCCAAAGAAUAAGCACCGGCUAACUUCGUGCCAGCAGCCGCGGUA
Molecule: ribosomal RNA, 467 nt
Filed under: Stenotrophomonas maltophilia
Lineage: Bacteria; Pseudomonadati; Pseudomonadota; Gammaproteobacteria; Lysobacterales; Lysobacteraceae
Description: bacterial SSU rRNA
Rfam family: Bacterial small subunit ribosomal RNA
Source: RNAcentral